Molecule: long non-coding RNA, 349 nt
Filed under: Numida meleagris (helmeted guineafowl)
Lineage: Eukaryota; Metazoa; Chordata; Aves; Galliformes; Numididae
Description: lncRNA (ENSNMEG00000010854.1)
Source: RNAcentral
UGUUCUUCAUGAAAGUCCUUUAAUUUUCAGGCUUUUGAAACCUUGGUUUCCCACAGCAAGAAGUCUCAGAGGCCUUUUCUGGUGCAUUUCCAAAGCAGAUGCUUGGUGAACAAGAAAUUGCAGCGGGGGAUGUCUCUUUGCUUCUCUCAGCUACUGAAGAAGAAAGAGCUGCAACAGAAGAGAUGUCCUGAAAUAUGAUAGAAGAUAGCGGAGAGAGGUUGAAGGGUGAAUGAAAGCUUUUGUUUCAAAAGGACAGGUACAUCCUGGCACACUUCCUGCUGUUGGAUGGAGAGGAUGACUUCAGGAACUGUGGACACAAGCAGUAUGAUAAAGGUCCUUAGACUCGUUC